AUUGAACGCUGGCGGCAGGCCUAACACAUGCAAGUCGAGCGAGCGGCGGACGGGUGCGUAAUGUCUGGGAAACUGCCUGAUGGAGGGGGAUAACUACUGGAAACGGUAGCUAAUACCGCAUACCCUCAGAUGUGCCCAGAUGGGAUUAGCGAGUAGGUGGGGUAACGGCUCACCUAGGCGACGAUCCCUAGCUGGUCUGAGAGGAUGACCAGACACGCAGAAACGGAGCCACGGGCCAGACUCCUACAGGAGGCAGCAGUGGGGAAUAUUGCACAAUGGGCGCAAGCCUGAUGCAGCCAUGCCGCGUGGGUGAAGAAGGCCUUCGGGUUGUAAAGCACUUUCAGCGGGUAGGCGUUACCCGCAGAAGAAGCACCGGCUAACUCCGUGCCAGCAGCCGCGGUAAUAC
RNAcentral lists this ribosomal RNA (406 nucleotides) under uncultured bacterium. RNAcentral describes it as "partial 16S ribosomal RNA". It matches the Rfam family "Bacterial small subunit ribosomal RNA", at positions 29 to 526 of the family's 1533-position model. The record is from RNAcentral.